AAGCUCAUUAUAUCAGUUAUAGUUUAUUUGAUGGUACCCUUACUACUUGGAUAACCGUAGUAAUUCUAGAGCUAAUACAUGCCCGGUAACACUGAUCCUUCGGGAGAGGUGCGGACUUAUUAGAUACAAAGCCAAUCUCACUUCGGUGAGUCGUUGGUGGAAUCAUAGUAAUUCCUCGAAUCGCAUGUCUUCGGACGGCGAUGGGUCAUUCAAAUUUCUGCCCUAUCAGCUUGUUGUUAGUGUAGUGGACUAACAUGGCUAAAACGGGUGACGGAGGAUUAGGGUCUGAUUCCGGAGAGGGAGCCUGAGAAAUGGCUACCACUUCCAAGGAAGGCAGCAGGCGCGUAAAUUACCCAAUCCCGACACGGGGAGGUAGUGACAAGAAAUAACAAUACCGGACAUUUCUAAUGUCUGGUAAUUGGAAUGAGUACAAUCCAAAAUCCUUAACAAGGAACAAUUGGAGGGCAAGUCUGGUGCCAGCAGCCGCGGUAAUACCAGCUCCAAUAGCGUAUAUUAAAGUUGUUGCAGUUAAAAGGCUCGUAGUCGAACUUAUGGCCUUGCGAACCUGGCCCGGGGACUUGUUCCUCGUCGUGACGGGUUUGCAGGUCAUCCUUGAGAGGAGUGUCGCUGUCCUUCACUGGUCGGCGGCACGAGUCUCAUCCUUUACUGUGAGAAAAACAAAGUGUUCAAAGCAGGCUUCACGGCUUGUAUGCAUUAGCAUGGAAUAAUAAGAUAGGACUUUGGUUCUAUUUUGUUGGCUUAUUGAACCGAAGUAAUGAUUAAUAGGGGUAGUUGGGGGUGCUCGUAUUUAACGGUCAGCGGUGAAAUGCAUGGACCCGUUAAAGACGAACUAAUGCGAAAGCAUUCACCAAGGAUACCUUCUUUGAUCAAGAACGAAAGUUGGGGGAUCGAAGACGAUCAGAUACCGUCGUAGUCUCAACCAUAAACUAUGCCAACUAGGGAUUGGCGGUAGUUGAUCAUGACCCCGUCAGAACCUUAUGAGAAAUCAAAGUCUCUGGGUUCUGGGGGGAGUAUGGUCGCAAGGCUGAAACUUAAAGGAAUUGACGGAAGGGCACCACCAGGAGUGGAGCCUGCGGCUUAAUUUGACUCAACACGGGGAAACUUACCAGG
Molecule: ribosomal RNA, 1131 nt
Filed under: uncultured Cercozoa
Lineage: Eukaryota; Cercozoa
Description: bacterial SSU rRNA
Rfam family: Eukaryotic small subunit ribosomal RNA
Source: RNAcentral